Sycon ciliatum is the source of this 692-nucleotide long non-coding RNA. RefSeq lists it as uncharacterized. The record is from RefSeq and is a predicted model, not a curated record. NCBI's taxonomy places the organism in Eukaryota, Metazoa, Porifera, Calcarea, Leucosolenida, Sycettidae. The transcript has 4 exons.
CUUUGAUGGCUUUCAGCUUCUAUUUUUUGAAAAGUAGCGCGCUCAGACCAGCUCGCUCACUCUUUUCCUCUUCCAUUUUUUAGGGCAAUUGUUUUGUUUGAUAGACGAAGCUUAGGGUCUCUUUGGGUUUGCAACCCUUACCCUCCUGGAAAAAAUCAUAGUUGUGCUAGACUGCGACACUUCAGACCAGGUACUAUUAGAGCCGCUAAUGGACGACGAGCUAUUUUCCGCUAUCCGGAGCUCAAGCAUUUGAGCCGCUAAAUGGACGAGACUCCUGAGGUAAAGGAUGCAGAGAAUGAGGAGAGAACACUCGUAUGGAGCAGGGAGUAGGUAGUGUACUACUUCCUGGUAUGGAGCACUGAGAAGCGCAUUAGGCGAUUUGAUCGCAGGACAAGAGAGGAGCUGAUGGACGAUCUCUCCAGUGUCCCUCUUGGUUCGGAGCAGCGCCGAGUGCUGACGUUGGGACUUGGAUCUCACUCAGCUCUGCUCUCCGAGCAUGCUGCUUCCAACACGACUUCCCGAAAGAAAAUGUGCUCGCGCAUUAGAAGGAGGUGAAAGAUGCACCUGCAGGAGAAUACAUGCUUAAGAGAAGGCAGAAACAUGCCCGGAUCCACCAGAACUAGUGCUGGCAAGUCAACAGAGGCGAGUACUGAUAAUGUUCCAGAUUGUGGUAGGAUCACAUAAGCAAAAUU